This is a non-coding RNA of Kibdelosporangium aridum, 69 nucleotides long. It matches the Rfam family "ASpks TB sRNA". NCBI's taxonomy places the organism in Bacteria, Bacillati, Actinomycetota, Actinomycetes, Pseudonocardiales, Pseudonocardiaceae. The record is from Rfam.
CUUCACCGAACCCAGCCACAACGGACGAUCCCGAUCCUGCCCGUAGGUCGCCAGCAACGCCUGGGCCUC